AUACGUAGGUGGCAAGCGUUGUCCGGAUUUAUUGGGCGUAAAGCGAGCGCAGGCGGUUUCUUAAGUCUGAUGUGAAAGCCCCCGGCUCAACCGGGGAGGGUCAUUGGAAACUGGGAGACUUGAGUGCAGAAGAGGAGAGUGGAAUUCCAUGUGUAGCGGUGAAAUGCGUAGAUAUAUGGAGGAACACCGAUGGCGAAGGCAGCCUCCUGGGAUAACACUGACGCUCAUGCACGAAAGCGUGGGGAGCAAACAGGAUUAGAUACCCUGGUAGUCCACGCCGUAAACGAUGAGUGCUAAGUGUUGGAGGGUUUCCGCCCUUCAGUGCUGCAGCUAACGCAUUAAGCACUCCGCCUGGGGAGUACGACCGCAAGGUUGAA
RNAcentral lists this ribosomal RNA (377 nucleotides) under uncultured bacterium. Its description in RNAcentral is "bacterial SSU rRNA". It matches the Rfam family "Bacterial small subunit ribosomal RNA", at positions 523 to 898 of the family's 1533-position model. The record is from RNAcentral.